Molecule: transfer RNA, 65 nt
Filed under: Tanystylum orbiculare
Lineage: Eukaryota; Metazoa; Arthropoda; Pycnogonida; Pantopoda; Tanystylidae
Description: tRNA-His
Source: RNAcentral
AUAUAAAUAGUUUAAAUAAAACAUUGAUUUGUGGAAUCAAAAAUUUAAAAUUAUUAAUUUAUAUA